UACGUAGGGUGCGAGCGUUGUCCGGAAUUAUUGGGCGUAAAGGGCUCGUAGGCGGUUUGUCACGUCGGGAGUGAAAACUCGGGGCUCAACCCCGAGCCUGCUUCCGAUACGGGCAGACUAGAGGUAUGCAGGGGAGAAUGGAAUUCCUGGUGUAGCGGUGAAAUGCGCAGAUAUCAGGAGGAACACCGAUGGCGAAGGCAGGUCUCUGGGCCACUACUGACGCUGAGAAGCGAAAGCAUGGGGAGCGAACAGG
Molecule: ribosomal RNA, 253 nt
Filed under: uncultured bacterium
Lineage: Bacteria
Description: partial 16S ribosomal RNA
Rfam family: Bacterial small subunit ribosomal RNA
Source: RNAcentral